AAACCCAAUAUCGUUCUUCCCAAGAGACUCGAAAGGCCUUAUCGUUUGUGUGAAUUAAAAUCGUAAGACUUGUAAAGAAAAAUUAAUGGUUGUAUAUGCAAGGACACAAAAUAAACAUGCAAAGGUAUUUGAUUCAAUUAACGAGAAGAAAGCUAUGGAUGAAUGGAGUUGUUGGGGGGUUACAAUUUCACCUUAUCCGCUCUCUUUUAUUUACUCCUCUUGUUUAAUGUGCUUGAUUAUCUAAUCAUUAUGCAACUUUCUUGGCCUACCCUUAACCCGAUCCCUCGGCGAAAAGAGCCUAUUACUAAUUACUGGCUUACUAUCCCUAGCCUCCCCUAGCAAUUAAUAAUGCAUUAAAGAACAGAAGCGAAAACAAUUGAUCGUCCUACCCCUAUCCCUAGGUGGUAUUGCUUAAUCAAGGAAUUACUCACCAGUUCAUGACAUUACUGUACGUCCCCG
This 459-nucleotide long non-coding RNA is filed under the name Vigna radiata. Its description in RNAcentral is "long non-coding RNA (VRAD_LNC000449)". Lineage: Eukaryota; Viridiplantae; Streptophyta; Magnoliopsida; Fabales; Fabaceae. The record is from RNAcentral.